UACAGAGGAUGCAAGCGUUAUCCGGAAUGAUUGGGCGUAAAGCGUCUGUAGGUGGCUUUUUAAGUCCGCCGUCAAAUCCCAGGGCUCAACUCUGGACAGGCGGUGGAAACUACCAAGCUGGAGUACGGUAGGGGCAGAGGGAAUUUCCGGUGGAGCGGUGAAAUGCGUAGAUAUCGAGAGGAACACCUGCGGCGAAGGCGGGUUGCUGGGCUGACACUGACGCUGAAGCGCGAAAGCUAGGGGAGCGAACGGG
Molecule: ribosomal RNA, 253 nt
Filed under: uncultured bacterium
Lineage: Bacteria
Description: partial 16S ribosomal RNA
Rfam family: Bacterial small subunit ribosomal RNA
Source: RNAcentral